Long non-coding RNA from Tympanuchus pallidicinctus (lesser prairie-chicken), 10307 nucleotides. RefSeq lists it as uncharacterized. The record is from RefSeq and is a predicted model, not a curated record. NCBI's taxonomy places the organism in Eukaryota, Metazoa, Chordata, Aves, Galliformes, Phasianidae. The transcript is spliced from 4 exons.
UGCGAUAGCUGCCUCGCACGCGGCCGGCCCGGGGCUGCUCGCUCGGGGCCGUUGCGGAGCGGGCGAGCCCCGCUCGGUGCCCCGGCGUCCCGCCCCCGCUCCUCGCUGGGAUCCGCGGCGCGAGGUGCCCGCUCGUUCACCCCCUGCCAGAGGCGCAGUUUACAGAAGCUCCCUGGCUGCGAGCGGUGCCAGGCCCUGCUGAUGGCCAGGGUUUCCCAAAUAAGGCGGCGAGCGUGCCGUGUUCCGCUGGAACCCCGCUAGGCUGCUCUGGCCCCGGGCCGCGCCGAGGUAACGCCGCGGCCUUUUAAGGAGUCGGCAGCACGAGGGGGUGAUGGACGAUCGCGCUCUUUGGAAGGAGCCUCAGCGGUCUUGUUCCCAGCAGAAGAAGAAGAAGACGAAGAGGGAAAAAAAAUCCAACACUUUCAUUUCUUAGAUAAAACAAAAAUCUGACCUUUGAAACUUCAAAGUUGGCAUCCAGGUUUGCCAUAAUGAGUCACACGUCUCUGCUACACUGGAGGAAAAACCACUGUACUGAAUGCAGUAGGAAAUGCAGGCUGGUGUGUGCACAGCAGGUAACUCAUCAGCUGCAAACCUGACAGGUAGAUGCACCUUUCUGCUGAAAGCAGAAGUGCAGUCAGCUGCACAGCUGCCCACUUGCUGGAGUGUGAGAGAAGGUGGGGUUUGCAAAGCUGCAAAGCCAGGUCAGGUUUGAAAUAACUAGAUGCAACUUAAGAGAUGCAUUAAAGGAGAUGCAACUCCUUUAAUGGUGCUAAUAUGUAUAUUUAUUUUAGAAGAGAAAGUUCUUGCAGUGUGGAUCCAAUCUACUCAUUUAUGAGCUCUUGGUUCACAGGCACCUCUGGGAGUUUCUGAAUGUGUUUGUGUCAGUCCAAGAAGGAACAGGCUGUGCUGGGCGGUGCAGAGGGUCUCAGUUGUCUGUGGCACACAUGGUGGGGUCACAGAGCCUGAAUCAAACUGCACUCAAAUUCAAACGAUUGCUUAGGGUAUUAUUCAAACAAAAAAAGUUUGAACUAGGUUUAAGGACUUAAUAAAUUAUGGAUGAGGAUUGUACUGUAUUUGCUGGUAAAUGGAAAAAGAACGAGAAAUAAAGCUUGUGUUUGUGGAGCCCGCGUUUCUGGUAGGAGGUGAUGGUCAUGUCAGGGCAAGGCUCCGGGUUUGCAGUUGUGAACUUCUGUGGGCGUACUAAUUCCUUCCUUAAUGACACUCUGCAUUUUUAUCACUUCCUUCUUUUACCUGAUAAAUUAGUUCCACUGCUCACUCCCGUAGUGUGUGGACAGUGAUACAGUGAAGCUCAAGGUUGCUCUGAGCAAGCAGGAAACAGAAUGUAGCAGGGUUCCUGUAGUGAUGUGGAGUGGCGGAGGUGCUACAAAGUUUCACGAGUGCUUUGGGCAUAUUUGCAAUUCCCCCCGGACAGCAGGCCAGCUGGAUUCUGGCUAUGUGGGGGGUUGAGCGUGUUGAGAAAGUGCUUUGUUCAGCCAAGCGUCAAGAAAGGGAAAGACUGCAAAUGCCUCUGCUGCGAGUGGUUCAAUCAUGCAGUGCUCGAACUGAGGGAUGUGGCUGCCAUCCUGGCCUGCUGCUGUAGCCUCUUCUGGAACAUAAUUUCUAUGGAAUUCUUUCCCUCUGAAUUGGAGAUUGCUCGUAGCUCAGCAAACUGCCGCUGCCACAUUUGCAGAUGUCCAGUGAUCAUCAAGAUGAUGACUUUUUUUUUCUUGUAAGUCUCCUCCUUGUUCACCUUUAGAAGUCAUAGAUUGAAGAGAAGGGGAUGAGCACAGUGGUCACUGCAACAGACGUGUUGCAGUUGAGAAAAAAAUGCUGUGAAGUUCAGUUUUGUCAGUUGUUCUCUGAAAGGUGUGGGGGAAACUAAUCCAUGAGACAGCCCAAUGGCUGCAAGAUGCUUUCAGCUCAGUUCCUACUGAUCAUGGCAGGCUGGAAUGUAAGCAACAUCAGCUGCAUGGACUGUGCAUCAGCUGCAUGGUGCUAAAGCAGUAGCUUGUUUAUCCUCCUGGUCUUACUUGUGUGUGGUGUUAAUGAAGUCAGAAAACAACCAGAACUGUAACAUGAAACUUUAAAUGGCUUGCAUGGCUUAUGUGACUUGGUAAUAGUCUUGAAAGAGGUCAAAAUCAAAUGUACAGAGAGAAUCCAGCCUGUUUAUCCCAGUUCUGUUCCCCAAGCAGCAGGUCACUGUGCAGUUUAUUAGUGUCAUGUAGCUGCUCACCUCAGCAAGCUGGGCUUCUUGCAGCUGCUCUCUGCCUGAGGAAUUUUUGCAAUAGGAGGAACAGAAUUGUCAACUUCUGGCCAGGAAUCACAUCAUUAAUCCAAGCAGUCAUGUUCCUGCUUUCAGUGUUCAUACCUUUAGAAGGUGACAGCCAUUAACUUACACUGUGCUUCAUAAGUGUGUUUAUGUUAGGAUUUAUUUGUUUGUUUAAUGAUAUUCUGCUUUGUUGCUUUGUUUUGUUUUGUUUUGUUUUUCCAAAAAAAUGCAUGCACCCUACUAGAAAAUUUCCUAGGUUCUCAUCCUUUUUAAAAACAUCUUGGCCUGAUUUGCUGUCAUCUUAGUUUAGCUCCUAACUAGGUGGGGUUCCAAGGAGAAGAUGGAAGUAAUGUCUAAAUGUGGCAAUGAGAGUGGAGAGCUUUGAGCCUAUCACUGAACCCACAAACACACAGUGCAAUGGGCCUCUCAGCUGCAGCACAGCAGGAAUAUUCUAAGUGAAGUUUUUUCUCUACCACAGAGAUUCUUAUGAAAUAAAUUAGCCAUGCUAUGGAAAUAGUACGUAAGCACCCUUCGGAUUAUGAGAAGGCAUUUCAGUUUUACAGUUGUAAUAACAGUACAUCUUCAUGUGAUGUUGCUCAGAUCUGGAUGUCAGACACUUGUGCUUGCUAUGUAGGUAGGGCGGUUCUGCUGCCAGAAAUGAAGCACAGCAUAAACCAAGCAUUAUAAAAGUUAGUCUAGAAAAUGUAACCUAGCGUUAUGUACAGAAGUCAAAAUGCAUGUUUUCUUCCCCUAAGCAGGCGCGAUGUAAAAGUGCUCUUCCUUCUAGAGCUUUGACAUAGAAAGUUCUGGAAAUGAAUGAAUAUGAAUUUAAAGCUUAUCAUCUGCAGCCUUUUAGUAAAUACAUACCAUAUGCAAUACUGACUUGCUGUGGGUAGUGUGCCAAGCACAGCUCCUAAGGCUGCCUAAAACCACAAAGUGGGUAAUUGCUGUAACAGACCCUCACUGAGCACGUGGUUCUGCACCUGGCCAGCUUAUGGUUUCAAGUCUUGGGGCCUCCCCACUUGCUCUAGGUUAGCAUAUCUAUGCAUUGCUGAAUAAUUGCAUGAAUACUGUAGUUAAUAUGGGUAGUUGUAUGAGGAAUACUGCUUUCAGUGGUUUGGGGUUUUUUGAAGAAGGAGGUGUUUUUGUUUUGGUUUGGUUUUGCAUUGUUCUACAAAGGUCUCUGCUGACUCUUCAGCUGCUGGACAGACUUCUGAAGUGUUCUGUUUAUUUCACAUCAAGAGACAGGAGGUCUUGUGUCUACUGCUGGUCUAAGAGUUUGGCAUCCCUAACCAAAGCAGUAGCUGAGGCGUGGUAUCCCUGUACUUAGCCCAUCCUAUCCCCUUGCUCUCACUUGCUCUGGGAAUCCUAUGGAGCCGGGAAAGGCAGCAGAGUAGAGGGGAGGGAGGGGACACAGGCGCAGCAGUAGCCCCUGUGCCCUGCCUGAGGGACCUCAGUGGGUACUGGCAUCCCCAGCCAGCGAGCAACACAUUAUUCUGCCAGUGCAUAUAAAUGGUUCUGAGUUUGCCCACUGUGGAAGAACAAGGCUAAAGAAAAGAGAGCAAUGGCAGGAAGGAGAAGAAAACAGCUGAGAUAAAGGCGAAUGAAAUCAGCACUAAAUAAUAAGAGAAGAGGGAGCAAGUGGGGCCUAUGAACAGAGUGCUGUAAUGGGAUUGGAGCUGCAAUUUGAUUUUUGAUAGCAGACCGCCCGUUGUGGAGUAAUGUCUGCCUUAGGUCAGCUCGGCUCUGGGAGCAGUGUUUUCUCCAUGGCCUAUGAGCCUGGUGGCACCACAGUUGUCUCUCAGUCUGUCCCUGCCUCCUGCUUUAAUGCUGCACACUCAAUGGUUUCUUCUCAGUGCCUUCUUUACAUACUCAGCCCUAUUGGAAAUUUUGCUUUUUCUGUGUUAUCCCAGAUUUCCAGCAGGUUGGGUAACAGAACAAGGGUUCAGUUUUUUCACUGGAGUGUGUGCAUAUCCUUCACUGCAACUUCUGUGGCUGAGGUGAUUCUAGACUGGGCAUUUCUGGUGUUUAGCCCUACCCCCGUUCCAGGAAAGUUUGUUUCCUGGUUACUUUGAGUUGACACAGUAUUUAUAUCAGAAUCGGAAAGUCUCCAAGGAGAUUUCAGGCACUUCUUUACGUAAAACAAAUGAACUGCAGACGUUUGAACACAAGAGAUUUUGUUUUCAUGUUCCAGAAUGUGGUUCUUUGUUUCAAGUAAGGUCUCUCUCUCUUUGCCUUAGUCAGCAUACCUCACAUACCUGUCAAAUUUACUGAGAUGUUCUAGAAAAUGUCUUACCUACAUCGCCUGGCUCUCGGUUGUCUGGUGCUGGCAAUAUCUGUAUACAGCUUUGAGUAGGCAGAAGCUGCUACUCAACACCAUCUCAUCAAGGGCCCAAAGUCAUCAGCUUUUCCAUCUGAUGGCAUAUUGGGUCUUGAAUUUGUUCUGCUAUAGGGUUUCAUGAGGACAAUUAUGUUGCUGCAGGCAGAAAUAUGACUAAGCUGCUCUUGUAUAGAACUUUAUGUCCAUUUAUCAGUUAUAUGUAAAAAUAAUUGUAUUCUUCAUUUCCUCUAUGCCAUCCUAGGUGAGAAAGAUGAAGAUAUAGUGGAGAUUACAGUAAAGAAGUAUAGGUAAUUAAGUUGUAAGGAAAAACAUACUCCACUCUGUUGAUGUAAAGUUGGAAUAUUUUGAGCAAAACUGUUCUUCAGGAAAGUUUUGGAUUUGAAUUCUGUUUCUGGUUUGUUAUUAUCAUUGUUUCCUUGUGUAUUUUUGUUUGUUUGUUUAUUUUAUUUUGCCUAUUAACUUGAAAUUUUAUUUUUAAUCCCUGAAUGGAUUGAAACACCUCUGCAAAGCUUGAGACAAUGCACCUGCUGAGAUGAAGCUGGCACCAAGCCACACAUACUGACCUGACCCUUUCCCAUCCACAUUUAGUCAGGUGAGUAACUUUCCCCACAUAAAGGGUUGAACAAGCCUCCUAGUGUCUGUCUUACACUCAGCUGUUAAUUUGAAGGUGUUAACAUGCACCAUCUGGUCCUGCAAGGAUGGGAUUAGUCAAGCGUAUCAUUACCACUAAUAACUUGUUGAAUGAAAAGUAAAAAUGAAAGCUGAGGAAAUCUGCUAGGGUGUAACUGCUCCUAAAUUAACUUUCCAGCAUUUCUGUCUUAUGGAAUGUCCUAUUUGCCAGGAAACGUGAAGAACCAAUGAACAGAUGACACACAAAAAUGUGUGGGUUUUUUUUUCCUGCUGUCACUGUGGACUGCUCCUUGUUCCCUGUCCCUUGUCUCUGCCAGCCAGCAGGACAGAGCUGGCUGUGCAGCUGCAGAAGUCCUUUUCCAGCCAACAUGCCCACAUUGUGACCUUUGCCACAGAACCAAAGUCUCUGUGGAGAGAACAAUCAUCCUUGUUCAUGCUUUUGGAGAUGCUUCUGUCAAAACCGAAUUGCUCAGGACACUGAACAGCCAUCAGGUCAGGAUGUUGUCAGUGAUGUGGGGUAAGUUACACCUAACAAGGGCAGAAGAAAAUGAUCCUAUAUUAUUCUCUUCAGGUUCUAAAAAUAAUGUUUUUCUUUAGCAACUCUCAGCUGAACAGUACUCCAGAAUUAGUAACUAUUUUAUCAAUAUAUAAGGGUGAGCGCAGCCACCAGAAAAGUGUUAUAAAACCAGCUGGGUAGGUACAUAAGCUGAACAACUUGACCGUGGGUAACAGUGGCCCCAUGGCAGGCAGAGCCAGCCAAGGCAGUGACCUAGAAUUUUGUACUCGAGCUACUAAACCACAUAGAAACAAUUUGAUGAGUGUCCUUUCACAAUGGAGAUGCUGGAAAUACAUUCUCUCCCUUGAAAAAAAUGUUCUACAUUUGGGAUGCAGAGUUCUACACUGCCUUUUCCACUGAAACAAGAACAGUAUAUAUUACAAAAAUAAAAUAAAAUAAAAUAAAUCUGAGAAAGCUGUCCAGUUCUGAUUUUUAUGUUUUUGUUCCAUUGAGUUUUGACUAAAAUCUGGACACAUGAAGAAUAUUUCUCCUUCAGGUCACCGAACUGCGGAUCUCUGAGCUGGUUCCUUCCCCUUUUUCUGGGCUGCUGAAGAUGGUGGUGCUCCCUGGGCUGUAAGGAUGACAUCUUCUGAACCAUUCCCUUUAUCCUGUUUUGCAACACAAGUUUAAGGGGGACAGUUUCCUCUGUUUAUUGCAAUUGAAGAGUGGCUGUGUUUAGAAUGAAGGGCAGUACUGGGGAUGUGUGAAAGCCUUUAUUUGCGUUCUUCUUUUCUUUUUACACUCUUCAGGCAGUGUUGCCAAGUUGCACCUCUCUUAAGUGUGAGAAAGAACAGCACUGCAAAGCAGUGACUUUAAAGAGCCUGGCUGCAUUUUGGCACCUGGUCACUGGAGAUGGAAUGUGUUUAAAACCUUAAGCUCCCUCCAGCUGUCUGUGGUAUACUUGUGGAAAACAACAAUAAUGCUUUUCCUGUUCUUCCUAGAGCCAAAUAUGUCUGUUACAGUCAAGUAACAGAGCAGUGUAAUCUAGUACUGAUAUCCCUUCAAGCUAAACAGGGCACCAUGGGAAGGGAAAGGAAACCAAAAUGUUGGGCUGUGGCUCAGCUUUGCUUGGCCACGCAUGUGCUUGUGGCUUCCCAGCGCCUGCCCAGGCCCCGCUGCUCCAAGGAUAAGACAGUGAUUUAUGACAAGCUUUGUACUUUAAACAAUUUUUCAUUUAAAGUUCUGCUCUUACUAUCCAACUUAUCCUCUUACAGCGAUGAAGGUACAGGCUACACAUGAGGGGAGUAUUGUUAUUUCUGCGGGAUAUUAUUUAAAAUAAAAUUUCUUAAAAAGUAAAAAAAGAAAAUCACCCUAGCUUGUGGUGAGAGCUCUGUUUGCAAACCAUUUUCCUACAUUUUACGUGGAAUACCUCCAGCUCCCUCUUUUGCAUUGGUUGUCUGUGACACGUUCCCAGAACUAAUAAGCCCCUCUUUUUUCCAACAAGAUGAAGGCUCUGGGCCUGCUAUAAUUGCUCCCAACAUCCUGACUCUACCUGGAAUGCUUCCAUCUCCUGGAACAAGCCCAGUGUCUGCUCUGCAAACCGCAGUGUCCAUAGUUUUGGUUGUUAAAAAUACUAAAGAUAUACUUUCUUAAAUGUACCUGUAUGAGAGUUCAAGUGUUGACAGUUCCUACUAGCAUAUGAAGCACAUUUAUUUGAUUUUGACUUUACGCUUGAUGCCCGUUAACAUUUUAAUUUAAAGAUUUUAUUUUACAAAGUUGAUAAAUCUUUUAUUUAAUGACCUUAAUCUUUGUGUCCUUUGCAUAACAACAUUUUAGGUAUUUAUACUGCAUUUCAGUACAAGACACCACAGAAUGUACUUUUCAUCUUAAUUCCUCCUUGUUUCUCUACUUCUCUUUGGAUGAGUGUUGCUUUGUGUAUUUGCUUGCCCUGACAGAUUUUGUGACAAUGGCAACUUUGAAAUCCCAGGCAAAAAAUGCUAUGUGGCUGAGAGACUGGUAUUAACUUUAUAGGAGAGCAAAACUCCCAGCUCUUUCAACAAGCAGAAGUGUGAGAAAAGUGGAUGUGUAUGUUACAGCAGGUAUGAGAUCUGCUGCCCACAGGACACGGAGUGGGGCUGAGGCAGGCUUGAUGUGGUCUUGUGAUGCUGAAGGCAGCUGCUGGUUUCAGUGAAUAAGAAUGGCUCUGGGCACUUUGUCUCUUGAUUUCUUUCUCAUGAAAGUAGCAGGUAGCUCUGAGAGCAUGGUGUCUGGUUCCCACUAGUUGCAGUCUGGAUGUGAACCAGUGACCCGGCUCACAAGUUCAGAGCUGUUAACCCCAUGCAACUUCUUUUACAUUUUAAAAUGGUACAGACCAAAAGCAAAAGAAGAACACAAAGCUGAGUAAGUCAUCGCUUAUAUACUGUGCCACUGGAGCAUUGGAUUUGUUUACUUUUCGUAUUUGCUCUUUUGCAUUUAGCUGCUGCUGUGUUGCCAUCACCUUCUUGAUCAGUGCAGGGACAUCCUGGCCUGCCCAGCACAGCCACUGGGGUAGGGGUGUCUCAGACAUGGUGUGAAGCUCUCUGCCAGGCUGGCCUUGCAGGUUACCUUCUGCUCCUGACUUAAGGAUGAAGUGAGAAUCACUCAACUUUUCCCACUAUUACUGAGUUAUUGUAAUUAGUCAUUGGCAGUUUCUUUGUCCUCAUCCAUUGGGAUGGUGCCUCCCACUCCCUUGCUUUGGCCAAUGGUUACUUAAGGCUCAGUGACUGUUUCUUGCUCUACGUGUGCAGUCAGUUAAUAUCCUGAAACGAUCUUGAUGAUCUGUCAGCAGUUUGUGCAGCUAUUCCUUCUGAGCUUUCACUCAACAUAAAGCAUGAUCUCAGUAUAGUGGCCUGUGAUGAGAUUUUCGUUAAAUUUUAUUUCCAGUAAUUUAGGAUUAGGUUAGAUUCUGUGAAAGAUGAUGUACAAAUUAGACCAAAAAAACAGUUUCUAAUUUUUGACAGGAAAAGACUACUUCACCACUGACAAUUUUGUUUCAUAUUAUUUUCACUUGACUGUAUCGUCCAGUAUCUGACACAUCACGUUAGACCUUGAGAUUUAGCUCAUAUUAGCUCCACUUUGAGAAUUUGUCCAAAGCUCCCUGUAUUUAUUCUUAAUCUCUAGGGUUGCACUAGGAAAUUCAUCAUUCAUCUUUCGUUCCUGACCUAUUAUUAUUAUUAUCUGUGUAUCUUGUUUUACCAUUUUGCAAACAGUCUUUGGCUAAAUCUCCUAGUCACAUCCUUCAGUGCUAAGAUAACCUGAGAUUUUAGCUACAGAUUUCAAGCAUUGCUAUGCGAUUGCAUAGCUGUUGAGAUGAAGGGGGAUUAGUAUAGUUUAGCCUUGAUUGUAUAGGUCAUUGAAAAUCAUGUAUUGGUAGAGUAACAAGCUAUAAGAAUUCAUCCUUUGGUCAAGUCACAAUGCAGCUUAUAUAGACAACAACUCAGCAGUAUUUUUUUCCAUUAGUAAACCACUGACCUUAGGCUCCCUCCAUGGUACCACUCUUCUCAAGUGUGGUAAUGUAAUUCUGUUUGGUACACAGCACCUAUGCAUCCUGUGACUUUAUCAAAUGAAUGCAUAAGCAUUUUGACUUGGCAUUCUUGGCCACUCAGUUUUCUAAAAGUAUCAGUAGCUUUAUCUGCAAUGGCAAAUAGACAGUGAAUAUCUGUACUUAAAUAGUUGGACCAAAAAAACUGCAUCUAUUUCUGUAAAUCCCUAAAGUGAACUGUGAAAUAGUUGCUACUAUUGUGUAAUCCUCUUGUAAUCACCUGUAGUGCUUGCUGAAGAAAUGCAAAUUUUCCAAACUUUAUAAGCAAAAUCAAAACCAGGCUGAGUGCAGUUCAAUAGUUGUGAUGUAGAGACCUGAAUUCUGGAGUCAAUGCUGUGUACUGAUGCAUGAUUUCUCCCAAACUGCUACAUGAAAUAUAUCUGAUUGCAUCUCUGCAGGAUGUUUUAACUACUGUAUGUCAGUAAAACUUGUUGUUUGGAAUGUAUCAAUAGCAACUGUAAUUUUGUUCAUUUGUCAGCAAUAGUCAGGAUUUAGGAACAUUAUCUCCUUCAGAUUUGGAUAACAAAUCCAUAGUGAGAGGGCAUUUUUACCUAUCUCAGAAACUUGUUAUAUCUAGAUUUAUUACUGUCUGCAAAGAAAUGUGAGAUCUUGCAGGAGCACCCUCUAGAAAUCUGAACUUUCUGAAAACAUUUUGGCUAUUUUUCCACUUUUGAAUCAGUGCCCAAACUUUUCCCCCUCUUUUGAGAUCCUGUUUUCAUUGCUGCACCUGCCAAUCUCUUUGUUUUCCCUCAAAAUAAUGUGAUAAACUAAGAAAUCUUAAAGCUUUCAGUUGCUGAAGUAUCUUCUUAGACAUGAAACUUUGCAAUGCCUGUUACUGCUUGGGUUAAGAAGGGGGGCAUUGUUGCUUAGAGAGCUCCCAUAAAUACUGUGUUGAAGCAUCUCAUAAAGAAAAAAUGCAUACUGGGAAAUAAUCAACAGUGAUUCAUUGAUUCCUCACUGCACUCUGAACUGCCUGUUUUCAGCUUCUAAA